AAAGUCGUAACAAGGUUUCCGUAGGUGAACCUGCGGAAGGAUCAAUACAGUGGGGAGAGAGAGGAAAAGGGGAUUUGUUGAAACAAUUUAGAACUAUAUAUCAACAUCAACAUCAACAUUCACACAACUCAUAACAAUGGAUCUCUGGGCUCUU
Molecule: unclassified non-coding RNA, 154 nt
Filed under: Basidiomycota sp.
Lineage: Eukaryota; Fungi; Basidiomycota
Description: partial contains small subunit ribosomal RNA, internal transcribed spacer 1, and 5.8S ribosomal RNA
Rfam family: Eukaryotic small subunit ribosomal RNA (bases 1-47)
Source: RNAcentral